CGUAGGUCCCGAGCGUUGUCCGGAUUUAUUGGGCGUAAAGCGAGCGCAGGCGGUUUCAUAAGUCUGAAGUUAAAGGCAGUGGCUUAACCAUUGUACGCUUUGGAAACUGUGAGACUUGAGUGCAGAAGGGGAGAGUGGAAUUCCAUGUGUAGCGGUGAAAUGCGUAGAUAUAUGGAGGAACACCGGUGGCGAAAGCGGCUCUCUGGUCUGUAACUGACGCUGAGGCUCGAAAGCGUGGGAGCAAACAGGAUU
This 252-nucleotide ribosomal RNA is filed under the name uncultured bacterium. RNAcentral's name for it is "partial 16S ribosomal RNA". It matches the Rfam family "Bacterial small subunit ribosomal RNA", at positions 526 to 779 of the family's 1533-position model. The record is from RNAcentral.